UACGAAGGGGGCUAGCGUUGCUCGGAAUUACUGGGCGUAAAGCGCACGUAGGCGGAUUGUUAAGUCGGGGGUGAAAUCCUGGAGCUCAACUCCAGAACUGCCUUCGAUACUGGCGAUCUCGAGUUCGGGAGAGGUGAGUGGAACUGCGAGUGUAGAGGUGAAAUUCGUAGAUAUUCGGAAGAACACCAGUGGCGAAGGCGACUCACUGGACACGUAUUGACGCUGAGGUGCGAAAGCGUGGGGAGCAAACAGG
RNAcentral lists this ribosomal RNA (253 nucleotides) under uncultured bacterium. Its description in RNAcentral is "partial 16S ribosomal RNA". It matches the Rfam family "Bacterial small subunit ribosomal RNA", at positions 524 to 776 of the family's 1533-position model. The record is from RNAcentral.